GACGAACGCUGGCGGCGUGCUUCAUACAUGCAAGUCGAACGAGAAGCUGACUUCGGUCAGUGGAAAGUGGCGGACGGGUGAGUAAUAUGUAGGAAAUCUGCCUUUAGGAGGGGGACAACAGAGGGAAACUUCUGCUAAUACCCCAUAUGAGCGUAGCUGAAAUGCUAUUCUUGAAAACUCCGGUGCCUAAAGAUGAGCCUGCAUCUGAUUAGCUAGUUGGUAGUGUAAUGGACUACCAAGGCGACGAUCAGUAGCUGGUUUGAGAGGAUGAUCAGCCACAAUGGGACUGAGACACGGCCCAUACUCCUACGGGAGGCAGCAGUAGGGAAUUUUGCGCAAGGGGCGAAAGCCUGACGCAGCAACGCCGCGUGAACGAUUAAGCCCUUCGGGGUGUAAAGUUCUGUCAGUGGGGACGAAACUUGACGGUACCCACAGAGGAAGCACCGGCUAACUCCGUG
This 458-nucleotide ribosomal RNA is filed under the name uncultured bacterium. Its description in RNAcentral is "partial 16S ribosomal RNA". It matches the Rfam family "Bacterial small subunit ribosomal RNA", at positions 28 to 507 of the family's 1533-position model. The record is from RNAcentral.